RNAcentral lists this non-coding RNA (595 nucleotides) under Pan troglodytes (chimpanzee). Lineage: Eukaryota; Metazoa; Chordata; Mammalia; Primates; Hominidae. The record is from RNAcentral.
UUUUUUUCUCCCUGCCUUUAGAAGAUUUUUCCAGCAUCACCCACACACCCGGCCACGGGAGGGGGUGGAGAGGUUGCUGUUUACAAUUCUAGGAAUAAAUGUGAAGGUCUCGAGUCCAAAAUGGCCAGCUUGGCUGGGCGCGGUGACUCAUGCCCAUCAUCCCAGCACUUUGGGAGGCCGAAGCAGGAGGAUCGCUUGAGCUCAAGAGUUUGAGACCAGCUUGACAAACAUGGAAACCCUACUUGGCUGUGCUUCCUGCUAACACGAGGCCCUGCGAUUGCUGAGAACAACAGCCCCGAGACUGCGCGGCUCCGGGGGGAAAAAAACCUGGCCCCCUUUCAAGCCUUGACAGAAAACCUUUCAGAGCCCUGAACUCCCACCAGCCCGAGGACGGCUCCGAUAGCGCUGACAAAUGAGCCGGGACUGUGCCCAGGGCUCCCAGGCUGGGAGGGGACCCCAGCUCCCUUGUUCCUUCCUAAGGUCGGGAAAAAAAAAGCGCGUGUCCCUUCCUCCACCACAGAGGAACAGAGAAGUGUUUGCAUUGGUGGAUUUUUAAAUACUUGUUUAUUUUUAUUAAAGUGCAAUUCACAUGAAA